ACCUAGCUAAUAAAAUUAGUUUGUGGGGAAUAAAAUUCAUCAUAAGGCUAGCAACAUGCUUUUGCAUUCAUGCUGAGACAUAUUUUAUUUUGUGCUUUCAAAAUUCUUUUUGGAAAGGCUUUGGAAAAAGAAACAGAAAAGAAAUAAAAAAAAAACAACAGCCGAACCCCUGCAGCCCCGCUAGCGCGGCCCACCUGCGGCCAGGCAGCCCAGCGCGCGCCUCCUUCCCCCUCCCUGGCUGACGCGCGUGCCCCACAUGUCAGCAGCGCCUUCGUUCUUCUCCUCAGCGUGGACGAGCCGGUUUCGGCCGGGCGGUAAGCACGAUUUCUUACCAAAUCGGCUAAACGGCGCCUAUAUAAGCCCCUAGGUCAACCCCGCGUCCUGCGUGUGCAUUUUAAUCGCGAAACCAAGCUCCAGCCGCCCUAGACUUCGCGAAAUCGGACCUCGCCGGAGCAGCACGCUUUCCGCACGCCGCGAGCCGUUUUCGUCAUCUCUCGGACCCAACCAAGCGCUUAGAAGAGAUCGUGGUGAGCUCCUCUUCAUCCCGG
RNAcentral lists this long non-coding RNA (548 nucleotides) under Sorghum bicolor (sorghum). RNAcentral describes it as "long non-coding RNA (SBIC_LNC009764)". The record is from RNAcentral. Lineage: Eukaryota; Viridiplantae; Streptophyta; Magnoliopsida; Poales; Poaceae.